RNAcentral lists this ribosomal RNA (576 nucleotides) under fungal endophyte. RNAcentral's name for it is "eukaryotic LSU rRNA". The stretch from base 216 to 369 matches the Rfam family "5.8S ribosomal RNA". Lineage: Eukaryota; Fungi. The record is from RNAcentral.
UCGUAACAAGGUCUCCGUUGGUGAACCAGCGGAGGGAUCAUUACUGAGUUUACGCUCUAUAACCCUUUGUGAACAUACCUAUAACUGUUGCUUCGGCGGGUAGGGUCUCCGCGACCCUCCCGGCCUCCCGCCUCCGGGCGGGUCGGCGCCCGCCGGAGGAUAACCAAACUCUGAUUUAACGACGUUUCUUCUGAGUGGUACAAGCAAAUAAUCAAAACUUUUAACAACGGAUCUCUUGGUUCUGGCAUCGAUGAAGAACGCAGCGAAAUGCGAUAAGUAAUGUGAAUUGCAGAAUUCAGUGAAUCAUCGAAUCUUUGAACGCACAUUGCGCCCGCCAGCAUUCUGGCGGGCAUGCCUGUUCGAGCGUCAUUUCAACCCUCAAGCUCUGCUUGGUGUUGGGGCCCUACAGCUGAUGUAGGCCCUCAAAGGUAGUGGCGGACCCUCCCGGAGCCUCCUUUGCGUAGUAACUUUACGUCUCGCACUGGGAUCCGGAGGGACUCUUGCCGUAAAACCCCCCAAUUUUCCAAAGGUUGACCUCGGAUCAGGUAGGAAUACCCGCUGAACUUAAGCAUAUCA